AGUGAACGCUGGCGGCGUGCCUAAUACAUGCAAGUCGAACGGAGUGGCGCACGGGUGAGUAAUAUAUAGCUAAUCUGCCCCUUGCUGGAGGACAACAGCUAGAAAUGACUGCUAAUACCCCAUAGAACGGGAUGAGAUUAUAUCGGAUCAGCUAGUCGGUGGGGUAACGGCCUACCGAGGCUAUGACGCGUAACUGGUCUGAGAGGAUGAUCAGACACAUGGGAACGGAGACACGGUCCAUAGGCCUACGGGAGGGAGCAGUAGGGAAUAGUGCGAAAUGGGAGAAACCCUGACGCAGCAACGCCGCGUGGAGGAUGACACUUUUCGGAGCGUAAACUCCUUUUGUUAGGGAAGCGGUACCUAACGAGUAAGCACCGGCUAACUCCGUGCCAGCCGCCGCGGUAAUAC
This 408-nucleotide ribosomal RNA is filed under the name uncultured bacterium. Its description in RNAcentral is "partial 16S ribosomal RNA". It matches the Rfam family "Bacterial small subunit ribosomal RNA", at positions 29 to 526 of the family's 1533-position model. The record is from RNAcentral.